RNAcentral lists this small nuclear RNA (111 nucleotides) under Galleria mellonella (greater wax moth). RNAcentral's name for it is "U5 spliceosomal RNA". It matches the Rfam family "U5 spliceosomal RNA". From Rfam's summary of the family: U5 RNA is a component of both types of known spliceosome. The record is from Rfam by way of RNAcentral. Lineage: Eukaryota; Metazoa; Arthropoda; Insecta; Lepidoptera; Pyralidae.
UAACUCUGGUUUCCCUUCAAAACGCAUAAAUCUUUCGCCUUUUACUAAAGAUUUCCGUGGAGGGGAACACUCAAAUGAGUCUUUGAAAUUUUUUGUCCCCAUUCGGUGGGG